Molecule: ribosomal RNA, 254 nt
Filed under: uncultured bacterium
Lineage: Bacteria
Description: partial 16S ribosomal RNA
Rfam family: Bacterial small subunit ribosomal RNA
Source: RNAcentral
UACGGGGGGAGCAAGCGUUGUUCGGAUUUACUGGGCGUAAAGGGCGCGUAGGCGGUCAGCACAAGUCGGUUGUGAAAUCUCCGGGCUUAACUCGGAAAGGUCAACUGAUACUGUGCGGCUAGAGUGCGGAAGGGGCAACUGGAAUUCUCGGUGUAGCGGUGAAAUGCGUAGAUAUCGAGAGGAACACCUGCGGCGAAGGCGGGUUGCUGGGCCGACACUGACGCUGAUGCGCGAAAGCGAGGGGAGCGAACAGG